Molecule: ribosomal RNA, 167 nt
Filed under: uncultured rumen bacterium
Lineage: Bacteria
Description: partial 16S ribosomal RNA
Rfam family: Bacterial small subunit ribosomal RNA
Source: RNAcentral
UACGGGAGGCAGCAGUCGGGAAUAUUGCGCAAUGGAGGAAACUCUGACGCAGUGACGCCGCGUGCAGGAAGAAGGUUUUCGGAUUGUAAACUGCUUUAGACAGGGAAGAAAAAGACAGUACCUGUAGAAUAAGCUCCGGCUAACUACGUGCCAGCAGCCGCGGUAAU